GAUGAACGCUGGCGGCGUGCCUAAUACAUGCAAGUCGAACGCAUAGCGAAAGGUGCUUGCACCUUUCAAGGGAGUGGCGAACGGGUGAGUAACACGUGGACAACCUGCCUCAAGGCUGGGGAUAACAUUUGGAAACAGAUGCUAAUACCGAAUAAAACUUAGUGUCGCAUGACACAAAGUUAAAAGGCGCGUCGGCGGCAGCUAGAGAUGGAUCCGCGGUGCAUUAGUUAGUUGGUGGGGUAAAGGCCUACCAAGACAAUGAUGCAUAGCCGAGUUGAGAGACUGAUCGGCCACAUUGGGACUGAGACACGGCCCAAACUCCUACGGGAGGCUGCAGUAGGGAAUCUUCCACAAUGGGCGAAAGCCUGAUGGAGCAACGCCGCGUGUGUGAUGAAGGCUUUCGGGUCGUAAAGCACUGUUGUAUGGGAAGAACAGCUAGAAUAGGAAAUGAUUUUAGUUUGACGGUACCAUACCAGAAAGGGACGGCUAAAUACGUG
RNAcentral lists this ribosomal RNA (497 nucleotides) under uncultured bacterium. RNAcentral describes it as "partial 16S ribosomal RNA". It matches the Rfam family "Bacterial small subunit ribosomal RNA", at positions 28 to 507 of the family's 1533-position model. The record is from RNAcentral.